CAGAUGGUAGUUUAUUGAAAACAUGUGCUUGUCAAGCAUACGAUGACUAGUUUGAGAGUUUCUCUGA
This 67-nucleotide transfer RNA is filed under the name Bovicola ovis (sheep biting louse). RNAcentral describes it as "tRNA-Asp". Lineage: Eukaryota; Metazoa; Arthropoda; Insecta; Psocodea; Bovicoliidae. The record is from RNAcentral.